AGCAGCCGCCACGGUAAUACGUAGGUGGCAAGCGUUGUCCGGAAUUAUUGGGCGUAAAGGGCUCGCAGGCGGUUUCUUAAGUCUGAUGUGAAAGCCCCCGGCUCAACCGGGGAGGGUCAUCGGAAACUGGGAAACUUGAGUGCAGAAGAGGAGAGUGGAAUUCCACGUGUAGCGGUGAAAUGCGUAGAGAUGUGGAGGGACACCAGUGGCGAAGGCGACUCUCUGGUCUGUAACUGACGCUGAGGAGCGAAAGCGUGGGGAGCGAACAGGAUUAGAUACCCGUGUAGUCCCUGUCUCUUAUAC
RNAcentral lists this ribosomal RNA (303 nucleotides) under uncultured bacterium. RNAcentral describes it as "partial 16S ribosomal RNA". It matches the Rfam family "Bacterial small subunit ribosomal RNA", at positions 507 to 807 of the family's 1533-position model. The record is from RNAcentral.